RNAcentral lists this ribosomal RNA (250 nucleotides) under uncultured bacterium. RNAcentral's name for it is "partial 16S ribosomal RNA". It matches the Rfam family "Bacterial small subunit ribosomal RNA", at positions 779 to 1033 of the family's 1533-position model. The record is from RNAcentral.
UAGAUACCCUGGUAGUCCACGCCCUAAACGAUGAACACUCGAUGUUGGCGAUAUACGGUCAGCGUCUAAGCGAAAGCGUUAAGUGUUCCACCUGGGGAGUACGCCCGCAAGGGUGAAACUCAAAGGAAUUGACGGGGGCCCGCACAAGCGGAGGAGCAUGUGGUUUAAUUCGAUGAUACGCGAGGAACCUUACCCGGGCUUGAAAGUUAGUGAAUGUGGCAGAGACGCCACAGUCCUUCGGGACACGAAA